AUCGGAUGAGCCUUUACGUUUUAGCACGCAGGAUAGUCGAACGGAAUGGAAAGUCCGGCCGUAGCAGGUGAUAGCCCUGUAGACGAAAUUCUGUGUGUGGAACUAAGCGUAAGACAAGUAGGGCGGGACACGUGAAAUCCUGUUUGAAGAUGGGGGGACCAUCCUCCAAGGCUAAAUACUCGUGAUCGACCGAUAGUGAACCAGUACCGUGAGGGAAAGGCGAAAAGAACCCCGGAAGGGGAGUGAAAUAGAUCCUGAAACCGUAUGCAUACAAACAGUAGGAGCCUCCUUGUGGGGUGACUGCGUACCUUUUGUAUAAUGGGUCAGCGACUUACAUUCAGUGGCAAGGUUAACCGAAUAGGGAAGCCGUAGCGAAAGCGAGUCCGAAUAGGGCGAUUUAGUCGCUGGGUGUAGACCCGAAACCAGAUGAUCUAUCCAUGGCCAGGUUGAAGGCACGGUAACACGUGCUGGAGGACCGAACCCACUAAUGUUGAAAAAUUAGGGGAUGAGCUGUGGAUAGGGGUGAAAGGCUAAACAAAUCUGGAAAUAGCUGGUUCUCUCCGAAAACUAUUUAGGUAGUGCCUCAAGUAUUACUGCGGGGGGUAGAGCACUGUUAUAGCUAGGGGGUCAUGGCGACUUACCAAACUAUGGCAAACUCCGAAUACCCGCAAGUACAGCUUGGGAGACAGAGCACCGGGUGCUAACGUCCGGACUCAAGAGGGAAACAACCCAGACCGCCAGCUAAGGUCCCGAAUUAUCGCUAAGUGGGAAACGAAGUGGGAAGGCAUAGACAGUCAGGAGGUUGGCUUAGAAGCAGCCAUCCUUUAAAGAAAGCGUAAUAGCUCACUGA
Molecule: ribosomal RNA, 850 nt
Filed under: Achromobacter sp.
Lineage: Bacteria; Pseudomonadati; Pseudomonadota; Betaproteobacteria; Burkholderiales; Alcaligenaceae
Description: bacterial LSU rRNA
Rfam family: Bacterial large subunit ribosomal RNA
Source: RNAcentral